This 202-nucleotide ribosomal RNA is filed under the name uncultured bacterium. RNAcentral describes it as "partial 16S ribosomal RNA". It matches the Rfam family "Bacterial small subunit ribosomal RNA", at positions 524 to 725 of the family's 1533-position model. The record is from RNAcentral.
UACGUAGGGUGCAAGCGUUAAUCGGAAUUACUGGGCGUAAAGCGUGCGCAGGCGGUUUUGUAAGUCUGUCGUGAAAGCCCCGGGCUCAACCUGGGAAUUGCGAUGGAGACUGCAAGGCUUGAAUCUGGCAGAGGGGCGUAGAAUUCCACGUGUAGCAGUGAAAUGCGUAGAGAUGUGGAGGAACACCGAUGGCGAAGGCAGC